This 253-nucleotide ribosomal RNA is filed under the name uncultured bacterium. RNAcentral's name for it is "partial 16S ribosomal RNA". It matches the Rfam family "Bacterial small subunit ribosomal RNA", at positions 524 to 776 of the family's 1533-position model. The record is from RNAcentral.
UACGUAGGUGACGAGCGUUGUCCGGAUUUACUGGGCGUAAAGAGCGCGCAGGCGGUCGUUCGAGUCGAGUGUGAAAUCCCCGGGCUCAACCUGGGAACUGCAUCUGUGACUGCAUCGCUGGAGUGCGGCAGAGGGGGAUGGAAUUCCGCGUGUAGCAGUGAAAUGCGUAGAUAUGCGGAGGAACACCGAUGGCGAAGGCAAUCCCCUGGGCCUGCACUGACGCUCAUGCACGAAAGCGUGGGGAGCAAACAGG